GGCAGCAAUCGCGAGACUAGCAAAUCCCUAAACCGUGGCUCAGUUCAGAUCGUAGGCUGCAACUCGCCUACGUGAAGGAGGAAUCGCUAGUAAUCGCAGGUCAGCAUACUGCGGUGAAUACGUUCCCGGGCCUUGUACACACCGCCCGUCACACCAUGGAAGUUGGCCACGCCCGAAGCCGUUACUCCAACCCUUGUGGAGGAGGACGUCGAAGGUGGGGCUGAUGACUGGGGUGAAGUCGUAACAAGGUAGCCGUACCGGAAGGUGCGGCUGGAUCACCUCCUAACAGGGAGACAAACAACGAUUUUGAUGUCUGAGUAUUUUAUUCUUAGGCCGAAAUCCUGUCACCUUAGGUCGAUCGGUACCUCAGCUUUGAAGUGACUAAUUCAGCAGCGAUGUUGAAGAGAGUCAUGGAGAUUCUUAGUUCCUAAACUUUGUCUAGGUCACACCCCAUAAGGGGAUGAGACUCCUGGGCCAUUAGCUCAGGUGGUUAGAGCGCACCCCUGAUAAGGGUGAGGUCCCUGGUUCAAGUCCAGGAUGGCCCAUUCGGUGUUGGGGGUUUAGCUCAGUUGGUAGAGCGCCUGCUUUGCAAGCAGGAUGUCAGGAGUUCGAGUCUCCUAACCUCCACUUGACCGACUCAAUCCCCAUCUUCCAARAUUGGAGUAUGAGCUCGGAUGGAGUGUGAUUUAGAUGUGUCCGCUGGAUGACCCCAGCUUCCUGUCAUUCCAAAGCAAGGAAAGAUUUUCUUGAUUUGGUUGAUAAGAUGCUGGGCUCGAGUUUGGCUGGUGAGAGAUCAUCAGCCAAGUUUGAUGUCUAGCAGAACCUUGACAACUGCAUAGGUGAAGUCUGGAAAGAAUAAAGCAUCUCAUGGAUGCAUCAUUCUUAAUUGGAUGAUGUUUGAUUCUUGAGCAAGAGCCGAGACUCCAUGGCGUUCUUUUUAGUGUGUCGAGCACUAAAGAGUUUGAUUCCUUAAUUCAGCAAUGAAUGGGGAAGAAUCCGUUUCAACGACGGUAAGCGUGAUGGAGAUUAAUUGGUCAAGCUACAAAGGGCUCACGGCGGAUACCUUGGCACACAGAGGCGAUGAAGGACGUGGUUACCUGCGAUAAGUCUCGGGGAGCUGGAAACACGCUUUGAUCCGGGAAUUUCCGAAUGGGGCAACCCCUAGUACGGCCAGCUGAAUCCAUAGGCUGGCACGAGCCAACCCAGCGAACUGAAACAUCUUA
This 1223-nucleotide unclassified non-coding RNA is filed under the name uncultured Synechococcus sp. RNAcentral describes it as "partial contains 16S ribosomal RNA, 16S-23S ribosomal RNA intergenic spacer, tRNA-Ile, tRNA-Ala, and 23S ribosomal RNA". The stretch from base 1 to 286 matches the Rfam family "Bacterial small subunit ribosomal RNA", at positions 1245 to 1533 of the family's 1533-position model. Lineage: Bacteria; Bacillati; Cyanobacteriota; Cyanophyceae; Synechococcales; Synechococcaceae. The record is from RNAcentral.